This 371-nucleotide ribosomal RNA is filed under the name uncultured bacterium. RNAcentral's name for it is "bacterial SSU rRNA". It matches the Rfam family "Bacterial small subunit ribosomal RNA", at positions 430 to 793 of the family's 1533-position model. The record is from RNAcentral.
GCUCUGUUGUAAGGGAAGAAUAGCAAGGAUAGGAAAUGAUCCUUGUCUGACGGUACCUUACCAGAAAGCCACGGCUAACUACGUGCCAGCAGCCGCGGUAAUACGUAGGUGGCAAGCGUUAUCCGGAAUUAUUGGGCGUAAAGCGCAUGUAGGCGGCUUUUUAAGUCUGGUGUGAAAGCCUGUGGCUCAACCACAGAAUUGCAUUGGAUACUGGAAAGCUAGAAUCUUGGAGAGGUAAGUGGAAUUUCAUGUGUAGCGGUGGAAUGCGUAGAUAUAUGAAGGAACACCAAUGGCGAAGGCAGCUUACUGGACAAGCAUUGACGCUGAGAUGCGAAAGUGUGGGUAGCAAACAGGAUUAGAUACCCUGGUAG